GAUCACAUUUGUACAGUUCGAUACUCGAUAGUUAUUUGAAGCUCGCUCUUCAUGUGUAGGAGGUAGAGUAUACGUACUUACGAGAAACAACUACGUUUGUUGAAACAACUGCAGUUUUCAGAUCACAUAGCAAACUCGAGAGUUAUUUGAUUUAUUUGCAUGUGCAACUCGCUACAAAUGUUUGUGAAUAUGCAAACAUCCACGAGGAUCAACUAACUAAAUACUUUCAGCUAUUGACCAGUCAUGUGAUACAAAUGCUGACUGCGACACUUCAGCCGACCUCGUGUGUGACAUGGCCUCAACCACAAAGACAUGCAAAAAGGGUCAUGGCAAAGUUGCACAGCCAAUCAAUGCAUGACAAACGCAGAGUGUUCCACGUCUUGUACUACGUGUCAAUGUUCUGAUGGAUAUUCAUAUGACAGUACCAGCCACAUGUGCAGUUUGACUAGCUCAUCGGUUGCGGCAGUUCUUUCAUCUUUGCUACUGGCGUUCUGCCUCCUCAUCUCUGCAGUCUAGGAAAGAGGACAUAACAAUAUGACCCACAAGAGAUGAAUGGAAAUAUGUAGUUUUAUAAUUAGUUCGUUAGUUUUUAAAAGUAAAACCAAAACUAUCUGGUAAUUUUCCCAACAUUUAAGGGAAAACUUUUUGGUAUAAUAGUUUUAAGUUUCGUGUGGCAGAUAUGUUUGAAACAUUAAUGAAUGGGUAUAUAGUUCACAAAUAAAACAUGACCUAAUACUAUUUCGAAUUCACCCCAGAUUAUUUUGAUCAAAUGCAGGAUAUUGAUUUUAAAAUACAGCAACGACAAUAUAUGUUUAUAUAACAUCGUAGAUGAAUUACUUAGUGUAACAACCCAUCAAAAUAAAAAAAAACAAUCAUUUUUCUUUGAAACAAAUAUCAGAACUUUUGUACAUAAUUGUGUGAUUUGUUUGCUGUGCGUUUUAAAAACACCACUGAUAUUUAAGCGGAAUAACGUAACGGUUUGAGGUUACAAAUCACAUGAUGCUUUCAACAGUCGAAAUAUGGUCAUAUAUGUUCGGUAUAAUAAUGAUAUUUGGAUUUGAAAAAGCAUAACAAAGUGGUUUAUGUGAAAACUCCUUAUGUUUUGAAACUUGAAAG
This is a long non-coding RNA of Mya arenaria, 1116 nucleotides long. RefSeq lists it as uncharacterized. Lineage: Eukaryota; Metazoa; Mollusca; Bivalvia; Myida; Myidae. The transcript is spliced from 3 exons. The record is from RefSeq and is a predicted model, not a curated record.